RNAcentral lists this unclassified non-coding RNA (203 nucleotides) under Hevea brasiliensis (rubber tree). Lineage: Eukaryota; Viridiplantae; Streptophyta; Magnoliopsida; Malpighiales; Euphorbiaceae. The record is from RNAcentral.
ACUCUCCUCCACCCUCUCUCUCUCUCUCUCUAUUGCUUUUUUCAUAUUAAAAAAAUAAUAAUAAUAACAAGAAGACGAACCCUCCCCUACGAUUUGCCCAUCAGAUCUUUUCAUCGUUCAUCCUACAGCAGGAGAGGAGCUAAGCCAACCACGCCCAGAGAAAUGGCACAGGAGACCAUCAUCGCCACAUGAACACUCUACUA